This 415-nucleotide ribosomal RNA is filed under the name uncultured bacterium. RNAcentral describes it as "bacterial SSU rRNA". It matches the Rfam family "Bacterial small subunit ribosomal RNA", at positions 355 to 787 of the family's 1533-position model. The record is from RNAcentral.
UGGGGAAUAUUGCACAAUGGGGGAAAGCCCUGAUGCAGCGACGCCGCGUGAAGGAUGAAGUAUUUCGGUAUGUAAAGCUCUAUCAGCAGGGAAGAUAAUGACGGUACCUGACUAAGAAGCUCCGGCUAAAUACGUGCCAGCAGCCGCGGUAAUACGUAUGGAGCAAGCGUUAUCCGGAUUUACUGGGUGUAGAGGGUGCGUAGGCGGCACAGCAAGUCAGAUGUGAAAGACCGGGGCUCAACCCCGGGGCUGCAUUUGAACUGCCGAGCUUGAGUCCGGGAGAGGCAGGCGGAAUUCCUAGUGUAGCGGUGAAAUGCGUAGAUAUUAGGAGGAACACCAGUGGCGAAGGCGGCCUGCUGGACCGGAACUGACGCUGAGGCACGAAAGCGUGGGGAGCAAACAGGAUUAGAUACCC